RNAcentral lists this unclassified non-coding RNA (283 nucleotides) under plant metagenome. RNAcentral describes it as "partial contains small subunit ribosomal RNA, internal transcribed spacer 1, and 5.8S ribosomal RNA". The stretch from base 235 to 283 matches the Rfam family "5.8S ribosomal RNA", at positions 1 to 49 of the family's 154-position model. The record is from RNAcentral.
UUUCCGUAGGUGAACCUGCGGAAGGAUCAUUAUUGUAUAACCGAGGUGCGAGGGCUGUCGCUGACCCGAAAGGUCGUGCACGCCCGAGUGCCCUCACACACAUUCAUCUCACCCCUAUGUGCACCACCGCGUGGGUCCCCCUUUGGCUUGUUCGGAGGGGGGCUUACGUUUUCACACAAACUUUGUAUGCAGUGUAGAAUGUAUUUUUUGUUUUUGCGAUCACGCAAUCAAUACAACUUUCAACAACGGAUCUCUUGGCUCUCGCAUCGAUGAAGGACGCAGC